GGAGGGGCCAUGGCUUAGUCGUAAAACAUCUGCUUGUAAUGCAGAACGUCCUAGGUUCAGUCCCUGGCAUCUCCA
Molecule: transfer RNA, 75 nt
Filed under: Sphaerodactylus townsendi
Lineage: Eukaryota; Metazoa; Chordata; Lepidosauria; Squamata; Sphaerodactylidae
Description: tRNA-Tyr
Rfam family: tRNA
About the family: Transfer RNA (tRNA) molecules are approximately 80 nucleotides in length. Their secondary structure includes four short double-helical elements and three loops (D, anti-codon, and T loops).
Source: RNAcentral